GGGCCUAUAGCUCAGUUGGUUAGAGCAACAGACUCAUAAUCUGUGGGUCCUUGGUUCGAGCCCAAGUAGGCCCC
This 74-nucleotide transfer RNA is filed under the name Bacteroidota bacterium. RNAcentral describes it as "Bacteroidetes bacterium (activated sludge metagenome) tRNA-Ile". It matches the Rfam family "tRNA". From Rfam's summary of the family: Transfer RNA (tRNA) molecules are approximately 80 nucleotides in length. Their secondary structure includes four short double-helical elements and three loops (D, anti-codon, and T loops). The record is from RNAcentral. Lineage: Bacteria; Pseudomonadati; Bacteroidota.